RNAcentral lists this ribosomal RNA (194 nucleotides) under uncultured bacterium. RNAcentral describes it as "partial 16S ribosomal RNA". It matches the Rfam family "Bacterial small subunit ribosomal RNA", at positions 338 to 524 of the family's 1533-position model. The record is from RNAcentral.
CCUACGGGAGGCAGCAGUGGGGAAUAUUGUACAAUGGGCGCAAGCCUGAUGCAGCCAUACCGCGUGUGUGAAGAAGGCCUUAGGGUUGUAAAGCACUUUCAGCGAGGAGGAAGGGUUCAGCGUUAAUAGCACUGUGCAUUGACGUUACUCGCAGAAGAAGCACCGGCUAACACCGUGCCAGCAGCCGCGGUAAU